UAGUUUAACAUCUGGAGUCUCUGAGGCUACAACUACAUGGUCAAGUACCAUAGGAUUUGCUGCAGCUCAACAAGCUAUCUGAGCUAUCUGGGUCAGCAGGACAAGAUGAGAAAAUAGGGUGACUGAGGAUGGGAAGCCUUCUUGAAGCAAUUCCGUUAAAUGUGCCACCUAUAACCACUUCAAACUGAACUGCAAUUAGAAGUCUUUUUCCUUCCCCUGCUUGUGUGGUCACUUAUAUCAAAGAAAACCAAAUGCCCCAGGGUGUCUUUGCAGUGAGAGAAGAGUGCCAAUUUUGCUGCCUUCACACAAAUUUCCCUCAGGAGGAGGACAACGUUCUGAAGAGGAGAGCUUCUCCUGUCCCUGGGCAUUAGUCCAUGUCAUUCAAACCUCUGGAAAACUCUGGCAUUCUAAAUCCCAUGAAGAGCCUCCAUGCUCAGAAGAAUGCAGGCACUUCAGGAAGUCACCUGCCACACCUACAGGGAGAUGGAAAUGUAUAAUGAAAUAGGGCUAGUGCACAUUCUACAUCUCUGAUGUUUAGUCUUCCUUGUUUACACCCAAACAGAGCUUAUGCCCAAUAAGGAAAAAGAACUACCAGGCACACAAGAAGGACAAGUGACAUUUACUAAAGGUUUCUAUGUCAGGGGUCUGUGGCUAAACAAAAGAAGGGCAGUACAGAUCUUGGCAACUGUACACCCCUUCCCUGUCUUCAUAGUUGCUGCGCGUUGCCUUUUUAUGCAUUAUUGUUCAUGGGAAAGGGGUAUAUCUUUUCUCCCUGCUCCUUUUACGUGCAUGGAGACGACUUCCAGUAUGAAAAGCCCAUUGUAAAUUUCCUGCUUUACUAUAUGUUUGUACGUGCUGAACUCCACAUUUCCACAACUAACUACUCUCUUGUGCUUAACUUCGACAGUAAGCGGACAGUGCCCUCUUAAGGUUCUCUGUGGGAAAACACCUAUGUUGAUUUCCAUGGCGUGUCCGGACAGUUUUAUGAAAUUCUGAAUUGUGCUUGGAAGACCAGAGCUGGACAAUUAGAAAUAAAAUGGGAUAGUAUACAGUAUUUGAUGGGGUGAGAAUUCACUUGCUUCGCAGCAAACUGGGUGCUGCAUCAGCAGACCUACGUGUCAGAACUGAGUUGCCACCAGUUUUGUAUAAAUGAGGGGAUGGGGUAAUUCUAAACACCAUGUGGGGACAGGAGCUGUUCCUGCACCUUCAGUGCAUCCCUCCCCCCAAAGCCAAUUCCACUGGCCAUUUCCUCAAUCGCUUUCUCAUCAAGACAAGAACUGCAGGGGAGAAGAUCUCUUAGGGGAUGAGGUAAACAUGGGCUUGGGAAAGGGUUCGGUUCCCGCACACGCCCCUUCAGAUUGCCAUUUAA
Pogona vitticeps (central bearded dragon) is the source of this 1369-nucleotide non-coding RNA. NCBI's taxonomy places the organism in Eukaryota, Metazoa, Chordata, Lepidosauria, Squamata, Agamidae. The record is from RefSeq and is a predicted model, not a curated record.